GGGAUCGUGGCGCAGUUGGCUAGCGCGUAGGUCUCAUAGACUCAUCCCGAUGACAUGUCCCUAUCCUAAGGUCGUGAGUUCGAGCCUCACCGAUCCCA
Molecule: transfer RNA, 98 nt
Filed under: Ophiostoma piceae UAMH 11346
Lineage: Eukaryota; Fungi; Ascomycota; Sordariomycetes; Ophiostomatales; Ophiostomataceae
Rfam family: tRNA
About the family: Transfer RNA (tRNA) molecules are approximately 80 nucleotides in length. Their secondary structure includes four short double-helical elements and three loops (D, anti-codon, and T loops). Further hydrogen bonds mediate the characteristic L-shaped molecular structure. tRNAs have two regions of fundamental functional importance: the anti-codon, which is responsible for specific mRNA codon recognition, and the 3' end, to which the tRNAs corresponding amino acid is attached (by aminoacyl-tRNA synthetases). tRNAs cope with the degeneracy of the genetic code in two manners: having more than one tRNA (with a specific anti-codon) for a particular amino acid; and 'wobble' base-pairing, i.e. permitting non-standard base-pairing at the 3rd anti-codon position.
Source: Rfam by way of RNAcentral